Long non-coding RNA from Homo sapiens (human), 627 nucleotides. The record is from Ensembl. Lineage: Eukaryota; Metazoa; Chordata; Mammalia; Primates; Hominidae.
GGUCUGGCUCGCUCUCCCAUCCCCGGGCAGACAGCUGCACGGGUGGCCUCGUGGUCCAUGGCCUCCGGCUGGGCCGGGGAAAGCCGUUUCGCGGAGCACGCCCGGCGGGUAAGAUGCUUCUGGAAGGUUCCCUCAAGGAGGACAGCUGCCCCCUGUGCCUGGUGUUCCUGACUCUGAGCCAGGGCCGGGAGGGAGCCCCUCCCCUCCCUGAAUGCUGGGGACGUCCCUGUCACAGGGUCUGCUGGAGGCUGCAGACUUCCCGAGGCCUCGUCUUCACCAGCCUGAGCCAGGGAGUUGGUCGGACGGGAGAGGGACAGAGGGGAAAGCAGGGAGGGACGCCAGGGAGGAGCCCCCGUGCCUCUGAGUGUGGCUUCUGGGGGCCCGGGCGGACCCCCACUCCCCACCGCAGGACAGGGAGGCGGUGCCACCUGGCCCUGGACCACCGAGGCCAAGGUCUCACAGGAAGCUCAGCCUCCAGCCCCUGCAGAUCCGCACGGCAGCCGCAGACAUCCUGAGGACGACGCGUCCUGGGGUCCCAGCUGCACGAGGCUCAGGACAGAGCUGGGGGUGUCAGCGACAAUAUUUCCCUCGCUCGUACAUUCCUUGGUAAUAAAAACACAAGCGGAA